GCAAAUGCUCAAGCAAAAUGCAGUGCAGCAAAAUUCACUAUUCUGAAAAUCAAAAUGACUUCAGUCUUAUCUUCUGAUAGGCUGAUUCAAACCAAAAUCAAUACUGGGGUACUAAGAAGAACUCUGAAUACUUUGAAUGAACAUCUAUAUAAAUCAUUUUGCCAACCUUUUGGUCAAUAAGGAGUGACAGCGAGGUUAAAGUAACAAGAGGUCUUGAAGUUCAAAUAAACAUUAACAGUCAGCUCUUAGGAAUGUUGGUAACUAUGAAAAACUCCCAUCUGCCUGACAAAUUGGCAGACUCAAAGUGCAUUCUUGUAUCUUAACUUUCCUUGACCCUCUGUGCUUCAUUCUACACAGUUAACUUGACCAUUCUCUUUGAAAUAUUUUUUUUUUUACUCUGUAAUUUAGGGGUUUUCUUAUCCCUCUCACCAUUUUCUCAGUUUUCUUUAAUGAUUCUUCUCAUUGGCCUAUCCUAAAUUUUAGGGGCCAAAAAAGUUAGAUCCUGGGUACUCUCUUUUUAACUAAGCAUACAAAUCUACUCUCAAGGCUUUUAAAACUAUAGGUUGUCCAAUUUAUACCUGAAAUCCUGACAUCCAUUAACUCUACAAUCCUGAAUCUUACAUUCUACUCUUAAGAUGACUGAAGUAACUAAGAUUUACCUUAGUCGAAAUCUAUAACUCAUCUUUUCCUAUCACAGCAGUCUAUCAGACGUCACCACAACUCAAUGGUGAUUACCAUCCAUGAAACUAGCCAACUAAAAACAUGAAUUCAACACGGAUGCCUCUAACCCUCCCCGCUGUCCCCAUUCUAUUCAUUCUCUGCCAUCAUUUGCCCAUUUCUGUUGACCACAGUUUCGUUCAAGUUAUGGGUCUGAAAAAUCUCAUGUUUUUCUCUAAAUACUCCUUUAUUUCCUGUACCACCAACCUCUCAAGGUCUAUAGUAUUUACUCAGAGAUCCCCUCAUGUCAGUAUCACACCUUGUGAGCUUAACAUAUGCCCAAUGUUUGGGGUACUUGCCUUAGGGCUUAUGGUCAUGUGCUUAAUCUUUCUGUGCAUGCCACAUGGUUCAUCUCAUAGCUAUGAAGCACAAGUCCUAAUGAAUUUUCUAUCUAGUUUGAUAUAUCCCUUAAAGGGAUCAACAGCAGUUUAA
Molecule: long non-coding RNA, 1149 nt
Filed under: Capra hircus (goat)
Lineage: Eukaryota; Metazoa; Chordata; Mammalia; Artiodactyla; Bovidae
Description: lncRNA (ENSCHIG00010017997.1)
Source: RNAcentral